CUCCGACAUAGCGUUAAACUAUGCUUGCAGAACUUGCAUACAGGUGCUGCACGGCUGUCGUCAGCUCGUGUCGUGAGAUGUUGGGUUAAGUCCCGCAACGAGCGCAACCCUCGUCCUUAGUUGCUAACAGUUCGGCUGAGAACUCUAAGGAGACUGCCUACGCAAGUAGGAGGAAGGUGAGGAUGACGUCAAGUCAUCAUGGCCCUUACGUCCAGGGCUACACACGUGCUACAAUGGGGUAUACAAAGAGCAGCAAUACGGUGACGUGGAGCAAAUCUCAAAAAUGCCUCCCAGUUCGGAUUGUAGUCUGCAACUCGACUACAUGAAGUUGGAAUCGCUAGUAAUCGUAGAUCAGCUAUGCUACGGUGAAUACGAA
RNAcentral lists this ribosomal RNA (376 nucleotides) under uncultured Arcobacter sp. RNAcentral describes it as "bacterial SSU rRNA". It matches the Rfam family "Bacterial small subunit ribosomal RNA", at positions 994 to 1370 of the family's 1533-position model. The record is from RNAcentral. Lineage: Bacteria; Pseudomonadati; Campylobacterota; Epsilonproteobacteria; Campylobacterales; Arcobacteraceae.